RNAcentral lists this small RNA (767 nucleotides) under Histoplasma ohiense. Its description in RNAcentral is "hypothetical lncRNA". The record is from RNAcentral. Lineage: Eukaryota; Fungi; Ascomycota; Eurotiomycetes; Onygenales; Ajellomycetaceae.
GCGGGGUUGGAGCGAGCAUUUACUAGAUCCUCUUAUCAAGAGACGAUUCGAUCAUGGCCAAAGGGACAGUACGUAGGUACAUCUACAUUCCUCUGUUUUGCUCCAUGCUUGGAGCCCUGGAGUACAUCGAUCGGCAUUCUGCAACAGUUCGGUUUUCGCAACGUUUACAACCUGUUGUCUCACGAAGUACAUACGUUGGUUGACAUCCAACCAGGAAGUGGGCCACAUGGUAAACCGAGGUUAGGUUUUUGGAUGAAGCUGAAUUGUUUCCCCAAGAUCUGUUCCUGAGUUGGUUUUCCCGAGAAGAUGCUCACACUCCGUGGAAGAAAAACAAUCUCGUUAAUGUGGUAUAUAAACUGUGUAUCUAGGUAAUAAAUAUCCAAGCCUCCUCCCUCCCAGGCUGUGACUGUUUGACCUACUCUCUGAUCUAGCCAGGUGAAACCAGCUUAGCAGCAGAUAUAAUAGGGAUGCCUAGGCACGUUUAGCAGCAUCGUACAAUCUCCUGAGAUGAGUCAGAAAUUGUCGUUGCAUAUGCACACGCCAGCCCGAAACUGUGGAGGGCAUACAUGCCCCAAAAAUCAUCAAAUGCGCGACCCUGAACUCGAAGCCGCUGCAUGCGUGCGUCUAUGAAUGUGCAGCAUACGGAUUCCGCGCGAUCGAUUUGUUAAGGAAGAUAAGGUGACUAGCCUAUGUGCGCAAAAUGUAUCUUAACAGCACGCGAUAGCAGAAUGAAAAUAAUCCCAUUAUUCAUUCCACAUCAAGGGAAA